GUGAGGAAUAUUGGUCAAUGGGCGAGAGCCUGAACCAGCCAAGUCGCGUGAAGGAUGAAGGUUUUAUGAAUUGUAAACUUCUUUUGCAGGGGAAUAAAGUACGGUACGUGUACCGUUUUGUAUGUACUCUGCGAAUAAGGAUCGGCUAACUCCGUGCCAGCAGCCGCGGUAAUACGGAGGAUCCAAGCGUUAUCCGGAUUUAUUGGGUUUAAAGGGUGCGCAGGCGGGUUGAUAAGUCAGCGGUGAAAGUUUGCAGCUUAACUGUAAAAUUGCCGUUGAAACUGUCGAUCUUGAGUGCAAAUGAGGUAAGCGGAAUGUGUUGUGUAGCGGUGAAAUGCUUAGAUAUUGGGAAGAACACCGGUGGCGAAGGCGACUUGCUGGCCAGCAACUGACGCUGAGGCGCGAAAGCCAGGGGAGCAAACGGGAUUAGAAACCCGUGUAGUCC
Molecule: ribosomal RNA, 445 nt
Filed under: uncultured bacterium
Lineage: Bacteria
Description: partial 16S ribosomal RNA
Rfam family: Bacterial small subunit ribosomal RNA
Source: RNAcentral